AUGGCCGCGUCGUCAACAUGCACGCGGCCACCGGCCACCGUCCUCCACACCGACGGGUCCAGGAGGUCCACCGUGGACGAGUUCGUCGCCUGCGCCCUCGAGACCAAGCCGGAGAGCCCGCGGCACCGCCAUCGCCUUGUUCUGCACCGCCUCGGCCGCCGUCGAUCCGCGGCGGACACCACCGCUUCGGCGCCACCCCGUCCUCCCCGAGUCUUCUGUGAGCAUCGCUACCCCGAGACUGCCGGCGACCCCCAGUUCGACUACGGUGUUGACGAUCCCUCCUUGCCAGAGCAACCAGAUGCUGGAGUCCAGGAGCCAGACGCCACCGUCGACGACGACCCCUACUACACUGGAGGUGCCUACUACUACGUGCUGCCCGCUGAUGACGACCAGGAGUAG
This 399-nucleotide ribosomal RNA is filed under the name Triticum aestivum (bread wheat). RNAcentral describes it as "partial small subunit ribosomal RNA". Lineage: Eukaryota; Viridiplantae; Streptophyta; Magnoliopsida; Poales; Poaceae. The record is from RNAcentral.